RNAcentral lists this ribosomal RNA (465 nucleotides) under uncultured bacterium. Its description in RNAcentral is "partial 16S ribosomal RNA". It matches the Rfam family "Bacterial small subunit ribosomal RNA", at positions 338 to 795 of the family's 1533-position model. The record is from RNAcentral.
CCUACGGGAGGCAGCAGUGGGGAAUAUUGCGCAAUGGGCGAAAGCCUGACGCAGCGACGCCGCGUGAGGGAUGAAGGUCUUCGGAUCGUAAACCUCUGUCAGCCGGGAAGAAAGGUCACUGUGCUAAUCAGCAGUGAAUUGACUGUACCUGCAAAGGAAGCACCGGCUCACUCCGUGCCAGCAGCCGCGGUAAUACGGAGGGUGCGAGCGUUAAUUGGAAUUACUGGGCGUAAAGCGCUCGUAGGCGGUAUGUCAAGUCAAGGGUGAAAUCCCCGCGCUCAACGUGGGAACUGCCUUUGAAACUGGCAAACUUGAGUGUGUGAGAGGAUAGUGGAAUGCCAGGUGUAGGGGUGAAAUGCGUAGAUAUCUGGAGGAACAUCAGUGGCGAAGGCGACAAUCCGGCACAGAACUGACGCUGAGGAGCGAAAGCGUGGGUAGCAAACAGGAUUAGAUACCCCAGUAGUC